AUGGAGACGUGUUUUCUUCUCAGCAUUUGGAUCUUCAGUCUCCUAGGCUCUGCGCUGGGCGAGUCGGUCAAAUCCAACGAACCCGAAGUGCCUGGAUCAGUUGGAGGUUCUGUGACACUCAGCUGUUCUUACACCACCAGCGAUAGCUUUGUCUAUCUCUAUUGGUACCGUCAGUAUCCGAACCAAGCCCCGCAGUACAUUCUCUGGAGAGGAGCGAAGUCCGCCAGCGGUACCAGCCACACUGCAGAUUUCGCCCAGCAGAGGUUUUCUUCCCAGGUUAAUGACAGCUCCACAGUUCUGAACAUCGCAGCUCUGGAGCUGGCAGACACCGCGGUGUAUCUCUGCGCCCUGCGUCUGGCACAGUGA
Molecule: non-coding RNA, 366 nt
Organism: Emys orbicularis (European pond turtle)
Lineage: Eukaryota; Metazoa; Chordata; Testudines; Emydidae
Source: the annotation of a RefSeq genome assembly